RNAcentral lists this ribosomal RNA (484 nucleotides) under uncultured bacterium. RNAcentral's name for it is "partial 16S ribosomal RNA". It matches the Rfam family "Bacterial small subunit ribosomal RNA", at positions 30 to 507 of the family's 1533-position model. The record is from RNAcentral.
AUUGAACGCUAGCGGGAUGCUUUACACAUGCCAGUCGAACGGCAGCGCGGACUUCGGUCUGGCGGCGAGUGGCGAACGGGUGAGUAGUGUAUCGGAACGUGCCCAGUAGCGGGGGAUAACUACGCGAAAGCGUAGCUAAUACCGCAUACGCCCUACGGGGGAAAGCAGGGGAUCGUAAGACCUUGCACUAUUGGAGCGGCCGAUAUCGGAUUAGCUAGUUGGUGAGGUAACGGCUCACCAAGGCGACGAUCCGUAGCUGGUUUGAGAGGACGACCAGCCACACUGGGACUGAGACACGGCCCAGACUCCUACGGGAGGCAGCAGUGGGGAAUUUUGGACAAUGGGGGCAACCCUGAUCCAGCCAUCCCGCGUGUGCGAUGAAGGCCUUCGGGUUGUAAAGCACUUUUGGCAGGAAAGAAACGUCGCGGGCUAAUACCCCGUGGAACUGACGGUACCUGCAGAAUAAGCACCGGCUAACUACGUG